GCUGGAACCCUCCACUACGAAGGGCUCCUGUGUGGUCUCGCUUCUUAGUUUUCAUUGUCAGUGUCCUUUGCCGUCCCCAGUGCUUUUGGGUGGAUCUUCGUCAUCGUCCUAGGAUUGCUCACCACCCUCAAGCUUGAAAACCCACCGAAAACCACUUGGCGGGCGUUUUUAAGUGCCGAGUUGAACAUGGCUGAAGGCUGGGGCUGUCUUUUUCCCUGGCGUCUUCCCCUGAAGCCGGCAGAAUGACGGAGAAAUGGUACUGAUUGUAUGAAAGCAUCCCCUUCAGCCAAUUCCAGUCUUCCUGAAAAGACCCCUGAAAGAAACAGGCCUCUUGAGCACUUGAUGCAGAUGACCACGAGUGGAUAGCCACCAGCAGGAGGAUGGAUUCACGAAAGCUCAACGUUUCCUGCUAGUCCAUGACCCAUAAUGACUCCCAGGAUGCCCAACAUGUCAGAAGGAAUCUUGUGGUCGCAAGUGACAGAGGAUUGAAUCCAAAUCAAGUUGGCAAAACCAGUCUCAAAUGAAUGUGACUUGAAAAUUCGUAAGGCUGGGAGAACACAUCGCUGCUCAGCUGGAGGAAAGUCAGAGAGCAUCUGAG
This 598-nucleotide long non-coding RNA is filed under the name Ursus maritimus (polar bear). Its description in RNAcentral is "lncRNA (ENSUMAG00000008924.1)". The record is from RNAcentral. Lineage: Eukaryota; Metazoa; Chordata; Mammalia; Carnivora; Ursidae.